Molecule: ribosomal RNA, 253 nt
Filed under: uncultured bacterium
Lineage: Bacteria
Description: partial 16S ribosomal RNA
Rfam family: Bacterial small subunit ribosomal RNA
Source: RNAcentral
UACGUAGGGUGCGAGCGUUGUCCGGAAUUACUGGGCGUAAAGGGCUCGUAGGCGGCCAACUAAGUCGGACGUGAAAUCCCCAGGCUCAACCUGGGAACUGCGUCCGAUACUGGAUGGCUUGAAUUCGGGAGAGGGAUGCAGAAUUCCAGGUGUAGCGGUGAAAUGCGUAGAUAUCUGGAGGAAUACCGGUGGCGAAGGCGGCAUCCUGGACCGACAUUGACGCUGAUGAGCGAAAGCCAGGGGAGCAAACGGG